AAGGAUCAUUACAGUAUGUUCAGAAGCGGCUUGCUGCUGGCCCUCGUUCUGGGGGCAUGUGCGCGCCCUUCGCCUUCAUCCAUAUACACUUGUGCACUUCGUCGAAAGCCUCCCGUACGGAGCCGCCCCGUCAUUGGGGUCGAGGCCUUUGAUCGUUAUUACACUUCAGCCUGUUCAAACGCAUGUCUAACGUCCCACGGGGCAAAAGUUAAAUACAACUUUCAACAACGGAUCUCUUGGCUUUC
This 245-nucleotide unclassified non-coding RNA is filed under the name uncultured fungus. Its description in RNAcentral is "partial contains 18S rRNA, ITS1, 5.8S rRNA, ITS2 and 28S rRNA". Lineage: Eukaryota; Fungi. The record is from RNAcentral.